RNAcentral lists this ribosomal RNA (379 nucleotides) under uncultured bacterium. RNAcentral describes it as "bacterial SSU rRNA". It matches the Rfam family "Bacterial small subunit ribosomal RNA", at positions 28 to 412 of the family's 1533-position model. The record is from RNAcentral.
GACGAACGCUGGCGGCGUGCUUAACACAUGCAAGUCGAACGGUAAGGCCCUUCGGGGUACACGAGUGGCGAACGGGUGAGUAACACGUGGGUGAUCUGCCCUGCACUUCGGGAUAAGCCUGGGAAACCGGGUCUAAUACCGGAUAGGACUCCUGGCUUCAUGGUUGGGGUGUAAAGCUUUUGCGGUGUGGGAUGGGCCCGCGGCCUAUCAGCUUGUUGGUAGGGUAAUGGCCUACCAAGGCGACGACGGGUAGCCGGCCUGAGAGGGUGACCGGCCACACUGGGACUGAGAUACGGCCCAGACUCCUACGGGAGGCAGCAGUGGGGAAUAUUGCACAAUGGGCGCAAGCCUGAUGCAGCGACGCCGCGUGAGGGAUGAC